Molecule: ribosomal RNA, 403 nt
Filed under: uncultured bacterium
Lineage: Bacteria
Description: partial 16S ribosomal RNA
Rfam family: Bacterial small subunit ribosomal RNA
Source: RNAcentral
AUUGAACGCUGGCGGCAGGCCUAACACAUGCAAGUCGAGCGAGCGGCGGACGGGUGAGUAAUGUAUGGGGACUGCCCGAUAGAGGGGGAUAACUACUGGAAACGGUGGCUAAUACCGCAUACUAUCGGAUAACCCAGAUGGGAUUAGCUAGUAGGUGGGGUAAAGGCUCACCUAGGCGACGAUCUCUAGCUGGUCUGAGAGGAUGAUCUGCCACACUGGGACUUGGAAACUGCCCCGACUCCUACGGGGGCAGCAGUGGGGAAUAUUGCACAAUUGGCGCAAGCCUGAUGCAGCCAUGCCGCUUGUAUUAAGAAGGCCUUAGGGUUGUAAAGUUCUUUUGUUAGGGAAGCGGUACCUAAAGAAUAAGCACCGGCUAACUACGUGCCAGCAGCCGCGGUAAUAC